GAUCAUGGCUCAGGAUGAACGCUAGCUACAGGCUUAACACAUGCAAGUCGAGGGGAAACGAUAUUGGAAGCUUGCUUCCGAUAGGCGUCGACCGGCGCACGGGUGAGUAACGCGUAUCCAACCUGCCCAUCACUUGGGAGUAACCUCGCGAAAGUAAGACUAAUGCCCAAUGACAUUUAUAGAAGGCAUCCGAAAUGAAUUAAAGAUUUAUCGGUGAUGGAUGGGGAUGCGU
Molecule: ribosomal RNA, 232 nt
Filed under: uncultured bacterium
Lineage: Bacteria
Description: partial 16S ribosomal RNA
Rfam family: Bacterial small subunit ribosomal RNA
Source: RNAcentral